Molecule: ribosomal RNA, 395 nt
Filed under: uncultured bacterium
Lineage: Bacteria
Description: bacterial SSU rRNA
Rfam family: Bacterial small subunit ribosomal RNA
Source: RNAcentral
AACGAACGCUGGCGGCGUGCCUAACACAUGCAAGUCGUGCGAGAAAGUUCCUUCGGGAGCGAGUAAAGCGGCGCACGGGUGAGUAACACGUAGGUAACCUGCCCCCCAGUCUGGAACAACUAGAGGAAACUCUAGCUAAUGCCGGAUGAGACCACGAUCCCUUCGGGGGUUGCGGCCAAAGAUGGCCUCUACUUGUAAGCUAUCGCUGAGGGAUGGGCCUGCGGGCCAUUAGCUUGUUGGUGAGGUAACGGCUCACCAAGGCUGUGAUGGCUAGCUGGUCUGAGAGGAUGACCAGCCACACUGGGACUGAGACACGGCCCAGACUCCUACGGGAGGCAGCAGUGGGGAAUAUUGUGCAAUGGGCGAAGCCUGACGCAGCGACGCCGCGUGGGUGA